UUCUUGGGAUGGUAGGGGGCCAACUCACUGUCCUUCUUCAUGCCAGCAUCCAAGCACUUCUGCAACCUGCAGGCUGGGCAGUGGCGCCUCUGGGCCUUGUUGACCUCACAGCUUCCAGCAAAGGGACACGUGAGGCUGGUGCUUUUGUUGACUGUUCUCCUGUGGAGACAGACGUUGUGAGGGUCAGGGAUGGCAGCAAGCAGGUGGGUAUGUGAGGGGCUACAAUGAUAUGGUCCCAAAGAAUCUAUGGUAGGGAUUCCCUGGUGGUCCAGUGGUUAGCACUAGGUGCUUUCACUGCCAAGGGCCUGGGUUCAAUCCCUGGUUGGGGAACUAAAAUCCUGAAUCUAGGGUGACAUGGGCUAAUCUGAGCUGUGUCCAGAAGUCCCUAGGGGUAGGGAGGACACAAUACAUCUCAAGCAUUCCCAUGGGGCACACAAUCAGUCAGGAAAGUCUAUACUUUCUAUAGACUAUGCUAGUCUGGUGCUUUGCAGGUAGUGAGUACACUUGGCUAUGGGUCUGUGUCCAGAGGACGCACACUCUGCCUCGCUCUGUUCUUCUGCCACGUGUUUAUACAGUGUGGAGGUUGCCAGUGGGUCAUGUGCUAGCUACAGGGUGGUUGGGUUCCAAGAAGCAAGAGUGCUGUAGCCGGACAAGCCCUGGCGUGUGCCGAGGCUUAAAGGCUGCCUGGCAGGCAGUUUGGGAGGUUGGUUGUGUUGAGGAGGAGGUUCUCACCUGAAGAAACCCUUGCAGCCCUCACAAGUCAGGGCAUGGAAGUGGUAGCCUGUAGCCCGGUCCCCACACACUGCGCAGUUCCUCGGCUCAUCUUCCCCACUGGCCAUGGCUUCAGAUCCAUAGUGACUCCCUACUGCUGAGUUUCCUGUUAGAUCUGCAGCCUCCUCUGUGCAUGGAUUCUGGACAAGCUGAGAGGACGGAGGGAGAGAGAGAGACAACAAGCUUUUUCACAUGCGGUAUGUCCACAGUAAAAGAACAGGCGUAACAAUUGUACACUGUUGCUCUAAGUGGGCCCUGCAAAUUAUGUACCUGGUCCUGUAUGGAGCCAAGAUGGAGGACUUCUAAGUAAUAAGUUUAAGAAUCAGAAGUAGGAGCCUUCACCAUGGUUGUCUACUGCUGCUGCCGCUGCUAAGUCGCUUCAGUCAUGUCCGACUCUGUGCGACCCCACAGACGGCAGCCCACCAGGCUCCCCCGUCCCUGGGAUUCUCCAGGCAAGAACACUGGAUUGGGUUGC
Molecule: long non-coding RNA, 1246 nt
Organism: Cervus elaphus (red deer)
Lineage: Eukaryota; Metazoa; Chordata; Mammalia; Artiodactyla; Cervidae
Exons: 3
Source: RefSeq, a predicted model, not a curated record